UCAAGAAACUUCCACAAUGGGCGAAAGCCUGAUGGAGCGACGUCGCGUGAUGGACGAAGUGCUUCGGCACGUAAACAUCUUUUAUGUGGGAUGAAAUUAUUGACAGUACCACAUGAAUAAGGGGCUCCUAACUCUGUGCCAGCAGGAGCGGUAAUACAGAGGCCCCAGGCGUUAUCCGGAAUCACUGGGCGUAAAGGGUGUCGAGGCGGUUGUAUUAGUCGUUCGUAAAAUCUACGAGCUUAACUUGUAGGCGGCGAACGAAACGGUACGACUUGAGGUUUGGAGAGGUGCGUGGAACUCACGGUGUAGGGGUGAAAUCCGUUGAUAUCGUGGGGAACACCAAAGGCGAAGGCAGCGCACUGGCCAAAAUCUGACGCUCACACACGAAAGCUAGGGUAGCGAAGAGGAUUAGAUACCCAUGUAGUCCCUGAGCGGGCUGGCAAGGCGCAU
Molecule: ribosomal RNA, 450 nt
Filed under: uncultured bacterium
Lineage: Bacteria
Description: bacterial SSU rRNA
Rfam family: Bacterial small subunit ribosomal RNA
Source: RNAcentral